This 1343-nucleotide ribosomal RNA is filed under the name uncultured bacterium. RNAcentral describes it as "16S ribosomal RNA". It matches the Rfam family "Bacterial small subunit ribosomal RNA", at positions 28 to 1378 of the family's 1533-position model. The record is from RNAcentral.
GACGAACCCUUGCGGCGUGCUUAACACAUGCAAGUCGAACGGAAAGGCCCUGCUUUUGUGGGGUGCUCGAGUGGCGAACGGGUGAGUAACACGUGAGUAACCUGCCCUUGACUUUGGGAUAACUUCAGGAAACUGGGGCUAAUACCGGAUAGGAGCUCCUGCUGCAUGGUGGGGGUUGGAAAGUUUCGGCGGUUGGGGAUGGACUCGCGGCUUAUCAGCAUGUUGGUGGGGUAGUGGCUUACCAAGGCUUUGACGGGUAGCCGGCCUGAGAGGGUGACCGGCCACAUUGGGACUGAGAUACGGCCCAGACUCCUACGGGAGGCAGCAGUGGGGAAUAUUGCACAAUGGGCGGAAGCCUGAUGCAGCAACGCCGCGUGCGGGAUGACGGCCUUCGGGUUGUAAACCGCUUUCGCCUGUGACGAAGCGUGAGUGACGGUAAUGGGUAAAGAAGCACCGGCUAACUACGUGCCAGCAGCCGCGGUGAUACGUAGGGUGCGAGCGUUGUCCGGAUUUAUUGGGCGUAAAGGGCUCGUAGGUGGUUGAUCGCGUCGGAAGUGUAAUCUUGGGGCUUAACCCUGAGCGUGCUUUCGAUACGGGUUGACUUGAGGAAGGUAGGGGAGAAUGGAAUUCCUGGUGGAGCGGUGGAAUGCGCAGAUAUCAGGAGGAACGCCAGUGGCGAAGGCGGUUCUCUGGGCCUUUCCUGACGCUGAGGAGCGAAAGCGUGGGGAGCGAACAGGCUUAGAUACCCUGGUAGUCCACGCUGUAAACGGUGGGUACUAGGUGUGGGGUCCAUUCCACGGGUUCCGUGCCGUAGCUAACGCUUUAAGUACCCCGCCUGGGGAGUACGGCCGCAAGGCUAAAACUCAAAGGAAUUGACGGGGCCCCGCACAAGCGGCGGAGCAUGCGGAUUAAUUCGAUGCAACGCGUAGAACCUUACCUGGGUUUGACAUGGAUCGGGAGUGCUCAGAGAUGGGUGUGCCUCUUUUGGGGUCGGUUCACAGGUGGUGCAUGCCUGUCGUCAGCUCGUGUCGUGAGAUGUUGGGUUAAGUCCCGCAACGAGCGCAACCCUUGUUCACUGUUGCCAGCACGUUAUGGUGGGGACUCAGUGGAGACCGCCGGGGUCAACUCGGAGGAGGGUGGGGAUGACGUCAAGUCCUCAUGCCCCUUAUGUCCAGGGCUUCACGCAUGCUACAAUGGCUGGUACAGAGAGUGGCGAGCCUGUGAGGGUGAGCGAAUCUCGGAAAGCCGGUCUCAGUUCGGAUUGGGGUCUGCAACUCGACCUCAUGAAGUCGGAGUCGCUAGUAAUCGCAGAUCAGCAACGCUGCGGUGAAUACGUUCCCGGG